GGUUGUUGACCCGACAGGUAUGGCUGCCCGCUGUUUCACCACACUGGUCGCUCGGUCCUUUCUGUGUGCUCACGGCAUUUGUGUUUGUUUGUAGGGCAGCUGCUUCGUGUGUCCCGUACAUGCGGCGUAGUUUGUGCGUGGUAAAUGCCAGCAGUGGUCGGUCCUAUCUCUCCCUCCCUCCUCCGGUGCGAAUGGGUGUGUGUCCUUAAACAGUUGCUGGAGACUGGUGGUGGCGGUGCUGGUGCCCGGGUGGUGGUUACCCUUUCUGUCUGCUGUGUCCGGGAAGGCGGGUCUCCCUUCACUGAGUGUGUGUCACGUAUGUCGGUGUUUUUGAUUGAUUUCUUAUUUUGGUGAAUUCCCCCCUGCACUAAGCCC
Molecule: long non-coding RNA, 375 nt
Organism: Morone saxatilis (striped sea-bass)
Lineage: Eukaryota; Metazoa; Chordata; Actinopteri; Moronidae
Exons: 3
Source: RefSeq, a predicted model, not a curated record